GGCUGUGAGGGCGGCCUGGCUGACAUGUCACUCCACUGACCGCCAGGGCCGAUUCGGCUGACCUGGCUGGCGGGGUGGGCGGGUGUCCCUCCUCCCUCGCCCAUCCUUGCCCUCGCACCGAGUGGACAAGGAUGGCCUUCCCCCAGAGGAGAGGACCCGUCUCGGUCUCGGGUCAAGGGCAUACGAGUAGCCGCGCUCCCCCGCGGGAGCCUCCACACAAGCUCUCGGAGGCUCCAGUGGGAUCACGGGCGCUCGAGGCUGAAGUGACAUCGGACUGGAGUC
This 282-nucleotide small nuclear RNA is filed under the name Myotis brandtii (Brandt's bat). RNAcentral describes it as "7SK RNA". It matches the Rfam family "7SK RNA". Rfam says of the family: 7SK was discovered as an abundant small nuclear RNA in the mid-70s but a possible function has only recently been suggested. Two independent studies have found that 7SK RNA binds the CDK9/cyclin T complex (known as elongation factor P-TEFb). P-TEFb activates transcription by phosphorylating the C-terminal domain of RNA polymerase II. Lineage: Eukaryota; Metazoa; Chordata; Mammalia; Chiroptera; Vespertilionidae. The record is from Rfam by way of RNAcentral.